GAACCUGGUUGAUCCUGCCAGUUAGUCAUAUGCUUGUCUCAAAGACUAAGCCAUGCAUGUCUAAGUAUAAAUGUUAUACAGUGAAACUGCGAAUGGCUCAUUAAAACAGUUAUAGUUUAUUUGAUAAUCGAAUUUACAUGGAUAACCGUGGUAAUUCUAGAGCUAAUACAUGCUGGUUAGCCUGACUUUUGAG
RNAcentral lists this ribosomal RNA (193 nucleotides) under uncultured eukaryote. RNAcentral describes it as "partial 18S ribosomal RNA". It matches the Rfam family "Eukaryotic small subunit ribosomal RNA", at positions 1 to 195 of the family's 1831-position model. The record is from RNAcentral.